GGAUCAAUGAGUUGGUCGUGCCUUUGGUAUGAACUGGCUUUAUUGGUUCUCACCUUCUAAUGAACCAUAAUGUCAUUCACUUGAUGUUUGGGGAAUUAGGACUGUUACCUUGAAAAAUUAGAGUGUUUAAAGCAGGCUCACGCUUGAAUACAUUAGCAUGGAAUAAUGAAAUAGGACAUCGCAUUCUAUUUUGUUGGUUUCUAGGAUCGAUGUAAUGAUUAAUAGGGAUAGUUGGG
RNAcentral lists this ribosomal RNA (236 nucleotides) under uncultured Glomus. RNAcentral's name for it is "partial 18S ribosomal RNA". It matches the Rfam family "Eukaryotic small subunit ribosomal RNA", at positions 636 to 886 of the family's 1831-position model. RNAcentral also lists the same sequence under 1 other name. The record is from RNAcentral. Lineage: Eukaryota; Fungi; Glomeromycota; Glomeromycetes; Glomerales; Glomeraceae.